RNAcentral lists this ribosomal RNA (253 nucleotides) under uncultured bacterium. RNAcentral's name for it is "partial 16S ribosomal RNA". It matches the Rfam family "Bacterial small subunit ribosomal RNA", at positions 524 to 776 of the family's 1533-position model. The record is from RNAcentral.
GACGAGCCACACGAACGUUAUUCGGAAUUACUGGGCUUAAAGGGUGCGUAGGCGGUGCGGAAAGUUGGGUGUGAAAUCCCUCGGCUCAACCGAGGAACUGCGCCCAAAACUACCGUACUUGAGGAAGAUAGAGGUGAGCGGAACUUACGGUGGAGCGGUGAAAUGCGUUGAUAUCGUAAGGAACACCCGUGGCGAAAGCGGCUCACUGGGUCUUUUCUGACGCUGAGGCACGAAAGCUAGGGUAGCGAACGGG